CGGGGACACCGGGAUGGCCGGGAAGGUGGCGCUGCUCCUGUGGGCCUCUGCAGACCUGUUGGGGACCGUGCACUUUCCUACAAGAGGGUGUCCUCAAGGGGACAUUUUGAGGACAGCCCCGCACCCUGAUCCUGGGUGCCACUCUUCCAACGGGGCCACCCCCACUCAGCCCUGUCCCUUCUCCCUUCCAGCCCAGACCCUCGGCCUCGCUGGUGAGUCCUCAGGGGAUGCCAUGUCCCCACCCCGCUGUCCCCAGCCCCGUGGUGGCCCUGGCAGGCUGGUGUCCCCUGUCACCCACAGGUGCCCAGAGCACCCAGCUCCUGGUGGAGCCCCCCUGGACGCCGGCGGUGCUGUGGGACCGGGUGACACUGACCUGCCAGGGCUCGGGGACCGCCGCUGCCACCUCCUGAUACAAGGACGGGCGGCGCUGGUGGCAGGAGCGACGACACAGCUUCAGUGUCACAGAGAGUGGCACCUACAAGUGUCACAGACCCGGGACCAGGAUCAGCUCCCCCAUGAUGGUGCCAAAUGGGCCGCUGGUGCUGCAGGCGCCAGCACAGGCACUGCUGGAGGGGGACACGGUGACACUGCGCUGCCGGGGCAGGCACUCUGUCACCAAGGUGGGA
Molecule: long non-coding RNA, 626 nt
Organism: Oenanthe melanoleuca
Lineage: Eukaryota; Metazoa; Chordata; Aves; Passeriformes; Muscicapidae
Exons: 3
Source: RefSeq, a predicted model, not a curated record